Molecule: ribosomal RNA, 450 nt
Filed under: uncultured Glomus
Lineage: Eukaryota; Fungi; Glomeromycota; Glomeromycetes; Glomerales; Glomeraceae
Description: SSU rRNA
Rfam family: Eukaryotic small subunit ribosomal RNA
Source: RNAcentral
AGCAGCCGCGGUAAUUCCAGCUCCAAUAGCGUAUAUUAAAGUUGUUGCAGUUAAAAAGCUCGUAGUUGAAUUUCGGGGUCAGUAGGCUGGUCGUGCCACAGGUAUGUACUGGUCUCACUGAUUCCUCCUUCCUGAUGAACCGUAAUGCCAUUAAUUUGGUGUUGCGGGGAAUCUGGACUGUUACUUUAGAAAAAUUAGAGUGUUUAAAGCAGGCUCGCGCUUGAAUACAUUAGCAUGGAAUAAUGAAAUAGGACGUUCGAUCCUAUUUUGUUGGUUUCUAGGAUUGACGUAAUGAUUAAUAGGGAUAGUUGGGGGCAUUAGUAUUCAAUUGUCAGAGGUGAAAUUCUUGGAUUUAUUGAAGACUAACUACUGCGAAAGCAUUUGCCAAGGAUGUUUUCAUUAAUCAAGAACGAAAGUUAGGGGAUCGAAGACGAUCAGAUACCGUCGUAG